UUUCCAAUCAGUCGAAAUAAGAAAGGAAUUUGGUGACUUUAUUAGUAGGACAACUCUUUUAUUCCUAAGCUUAGCAAUCCCCUUCAAUAGAGAAAAAAAGGUUUGAUUUUGAGGGUUAUACUGACUGCGCUGGUUGUGUGGCUGCUGGCUUUAGAGUUCAGCAACAGUUGAUAGCAAUUGAUGAAAACCUAGUUGAAAAACAGAGACAAUUGAUGUUGUGAUUACGUUAGACGAUCGCUUACCUCUUUCACUUCAAAUUAGGUCAAACAAAGGUAAGUUUAUUUCUCUAUUUUCUUAUAGUGAAGUCUUUAUAUGUAAUGUAAUGGUGGUAUUAUUUGCUUUAGAAGGCUUUUAAAGUCAUAGAUUUUGUGAUGAUUAGAUGGUGUGAGAGGGACAUGUGAUGCCUCUACCUAUUAGCUUUAUUAAAUUUAUUAAAUCAUCUGACUUAUAUUACAAUUGAGAAUGUGAACUAGCAAUUAGAAAAUGGUUUAAUAUAGUCACUUCAAAUGUAAAGUUAUGAUUUGAAAAUGAUUAAGUGUAGUUACUUGAAAUUGUGAACUUCACUUGAAAAUGGUUAAUUAAAUGGGUACUUGAAAUUGUGAACUUGUGACUUGAAAAUGCUUAAGUGUAGCUACUUGAAAUGUGAAGUUAACAACUUGAAAAUGCUUAAGUGUAGUUACUUGAAAUUGUGACCUUGUGACUUGAAAAUGGUUAAGUGUAGCUACUUGAAAUAUGAAGUUAAUGACUUGAAAAUACUUAAGUGUAGUUUACUUGAAAUUGUGACCUUGUGACUCCAAAAUGGUUAAGUGUAGCUAUUUGAAAUUGUGAACUUGUGACUUGAAAAUGCUUAAGUGUUUCUACUUGAAAUGUGAAGUUAAUGACUUGAAAAAGCUUAAGUGUAGCUACUUGAAAAUGAUUUAAGUGUAUUCACUUGAUAUCUGAACUAAUGACGAGAUUUUUUUAUGUUUUAAUGUAAAGUUGCAUAUUAUUGAAUAUCUAAAUUUUUGUAGAUGGAUCAUCGUCUGUGGAUGUUUGAUAUGGAUUAUGAAAAUGUUGGUGGUUUAAAACCCCAAUAUCUUGAUGGCAUUAGAGGUUUUAUCGAUCAUGCGAUGUCACUAGAUCUACUUUAUAAAAAUGGAGUGGUUAGGUGUCCUUAUAGUUCAUGUAGAUGCUUAAAGUUUUUUUCACUAGAUAUAGUUAUAACUUAUCUCUAUUGUAUUAGAUUUAAGCCAAGAUACUGUGUGUGGAUCAAUCACGGAGAAAGAGAUAGUUUGAAUGGUAUAUUUUAUAAUUCUUUGCCUGUGGAUGAAUAUGACAUGCUUGUACAUGGUCGACAUGCUAGGAUUCAACAUGCUAGAGUUCAAUAUAGGGUGCAACACGAUAGAGUACAAUACGAGUAUAGGAUUCAUGAAAUGGUCAAUGAUAUUUUUGGUAUUGGGGAUAGGAUGGAACCCGAGCAGAAUUUAGAAGAAGAUCCCAAUGAAGAAGCAAGAGGUUUCUAUCAACAAUUAGAAAAGGCUAGUCACCCACUAUGUGAAGGGAGUAUGCAUUCUGCUUUAUCUAUUGCAGUUAGAUUACUGAGUAUCAAAUCUAAUUGGAAUAUUGCUCAAGCUGCUCUAGACUCUAUGGCUGGUCUUUUGGGUGAACUAGUAAAUCCAGAGUUGAACAUACCUCAGAAUUUUUAUCAAGCAAAGAAAUUGGUUCCCAAGUUGGGAUUGUCAUAUAAUAGAAUCCAUUGUUGUAUAAAUGGUUGUAUGUUGUUCUAUAAGAAUGAUGCUAAAUUAGAAAAUUAUAAGUUUUGUGGACAUGCUCAUUAUAAGCGGACUCCCGAUGGAAAGAUGGUUUCUAUUAAGGCGAUGCACUAUUUACCUCUUAUACCUAGGCUAAAGAGGUUGUAGGCUUCGAUGAGUUCUGCCUCGCACAUUAAAUGGCACCAUGAAAAUAGACGUCCACCAAGUGUCUUAUCUCAUCCAUCAGAUAGAGAAGCUUGGAAUCACUUCGAAAAACUUAUCUAAUUUUGCUAGUAAACCAAGAAAUGUCAGAUUAGGGUUAUGUGCAGAUGGUUUCACACCAUUCUUUAAUUCUGGCACACCUUAUUAUUGUUGGCCUGUAUUUAUUACUCCAUAUAAUCUUUCACCUAAAAUAUGCAUGACAAGUCCCUACAUAUUUCUAAGUUGUAUUAUUUCAAGUCCCCGCAAUCCAAAAAGUUUGAUCAAUGUAUAUCUCCAUCCAUUGAUAAAUGAAUUACUACAAUUAUGGCAUGAAGGUGUAGAGAUAUAUGAUAUAUCAACUAAGCAGAAUUUUGUUAUGCGUACCAAUUUAAUGUGGACUAUUAGCGAUUUUUAUGCAUAUGGGAUGUUGUCUGAUUGGAUGACUGCUGGAAAGUUAGCUUGCCCAUAUUGCAUGAAAAAUAGCAAAGCAUUCACUUUAAAGUAUGGUCAAAAAAAUUCUUGGUUUGAUUGUCACUGCUAGUUCUUACCAAUGGACCACGAGUUUAGAAGGAUGAAAAAUGCAUUCAGAAAAAAUAAGAUUAAGAAUGAUUCGCUACCUCCAUUAUUGUUAGGACAUCAGAUUUGGGAGAGAGUUUGUAAUUUGCCUAAAGUUACAGAUGGUCCAUCUUCUAUACUUCCUGGAUAUGGUGUUGAACAUAAUUGGACCAAACACGGCAUAUUUUGGGAGUUGCCAUAUUGGGGGGACAAUAAACUAAGACAUAAUCUUAAUCCGAUGCACAUUGAAAAAAAUUAUUUUGAUAAUUUAUUCAACACAGUCAUGGAUGUUAAGGGCAAGACAAAAGAUAAUUCCAAAGCUAGAAUGGAUAUAAGGGAGUAUUGCAAGAGAAAGGAAUUGUGGUUGAAGGAAAAAUAAAAUGGUAAAUUGUUUAAGUCCAAGACCAAUUUUUCAUUCAUAUUAGAUAAGAAGCGGUAAAUAUGUGAGUGGGUUCAGAAUUUGAGGAUGUCUGAGGGCUAUACUUCAAAUUUAGGAAAAUAAGAGGAUAUGGAAUAAGGGAAGUUGAUUGGUAUGAAAAGCCAUGAUUGUCACAUUUUUAUGGAAACCUUGAUUCCUAUCGCAUUUAACCACCUUCCUGAGAGUAUAUAGAAACCAAUCACAGAGAUAAAUUUUUUCUUUAAAGAUUUAUGUUCAGGAAAGUUGUUGAAGAGUAGCUUGGACACAAUGAAGCAGAAUAUUCCUGUCAUCACUACUAAGUUGGAGAAGAUCUUUCCAUAUGGCUUUUUUGAUGUGAUGGAGCAUCUUCCAAUUCACCUCAUAGAAGAGGCACGUCUUGGAGGCCCAGUUCAAAUGAGGUGGAUGUAUCCAGGAGAGAGGAAAAUUAGCGAGUGCAAACAAACUAUUAAGCAAAGGGGAAAGAUUGAAGGAUCGAUUUGUGAAGCUUAUCUUGCAAAAGAAACUGCUUAUUUUUUUCUUACUACUUUGGGGAUGAAGUGUCAUGCAAGAGAAAUAGGUCCAAUCGUAAUGAUGAAGGUGAUGGUGAUCUUAUAUUUCCACCUAUAUCGAUUUUUAAUAAUUCAGGUAGAGAAUUUAAAAGUUAUUGUAAGCGAGCCCUCACUGGGAUGGAAAGAAAAUUAUUGUGACACAUGUUUUGCUCAAUUGUCCAGAGAAUCAACCAUAUCUUGAUUUAUUCAUUGGAAAAUGGGGUAAUGAUGCCAUAUAUAUGAGGUUUUCCGAUUGGCUGGAAGAAUACGUUUGGGAUGAACAUAGUACCAUCGAACAUUUUCCAUUGGUGAUGUUGACGGUAAUGGUCAAAUCGUUGAAUAUUUUGGUGUCAUACAAGAGAUAUUAGAAGUCAGGUACCCUGGUUGGCCAAAAAAGAAGAUAAUUGUAUUUCGGUGCAAUUGGUUUGAUCCAUCACAUAGAGGUACCAGGGUAAAUCAAUAGCACAAUAUAAUUGAAGUUAAGCACACGAGGCAAUAUAAUCGUUAUGAUCCUUUUAUCAUUGCACAAAAUGCCAAGCAGGUAUAUUGUGCUAUAUAUCCAUUGCAUAGAGAUAAAGUAAAUUGGUGGGUGGUUAUAAAGACUAAGCCUGUGGGGAGAAUUGAGAUUGAGAAUGUGUCAGAUGUGGCAUACCAGAACAAAGUCGCAGUUGUUGAUCAAAUAGUGGAUGAUGAGUUGGAAAACAAUCUAGAACAUCCUCAAUGCAUAUUAGAAGAAGUUUUUGAUGAUGAGAUAAUUGACAUCGUAAAUACAAUGGAAGAAAUAGAUGAGGGAAUGAAUCAUUCUGGGAGGACGAAUGGGACUAUGAAAAUAAAUCAAGGGAUAAGAAAGAAUGGGAGACUGAUGGAAAUGAAACAAGCGAUGAGGAAGAUUGAGAGAAUAAAGAUUAGCUAGUUUUUUUUUAUUACCACUAGUUAUUGUAUUGUAUUUUAUUGGUUAGAGUUUUUUGAGAUUACUUAUUUGUACUAGUUAUCUUUUUAGCCUAAACUUUGUUUACUGGUGUACAUGCUACUUUCUCUAUUUGUUGCUUGAAUUGGAUAUUCUGACUGAGGAAGUUCCACUUACUGGUGUA
Molecule: long non-coding RNA, 4522 nt
Organism: Capsicum annuum
Lineage: Eukaryota; Viridiplantae; Streptophyta; Magnoliopsida; Solanales; Solanaceae
Exons: 7
Source: RefSeq, a predicted model, not a curated record